GACGAACGCUGGCGGCGUGCUUAACACAUGCAAGUCGAACGGGCUCUGUCUGGCUGUGUGCUGGGUGGGGUUAGUGGCGAACGGGUGAGUAAUACGUGAGUAACCUGCCCUCUUCUUUGGGAUAAGCCUUGGAAACGGGGUCUAAUACUGGAUAUUCCUGUCUGGUCGCAUGGCUGGGUGGGGAAAGUUUUUUUCGGUGGGGGAUGGGCUCGCGGCCUAUCAGCUUGUUGGUGGGGUGAUGGCCUACCAAGGCGUCGACGGGUAGCCGGCCUGAGAGGGGGCACGGCCACACUGGGACUGGGAUACGGCCCCGACUCCUACGGGAGGCAGCAGUGGGGGAUAUUGCACAAUGGGCGCGAGCCUGAUGCAGCGACGCCGCGUGGGGGAUGACGGCUUUCGGGUUGUAAACCUCUUUCGUCGGGGGACAAGGCUCUGCUUGGUGGUGGGGUUGAGGGUACCCGGUGAAGAAGCGCCGGCUAACUACGUG
RNAcentral lists this ribosomal RNA (487 nucleotides) under uncultured bacterium. RNAcentral's name for it is "partial 16S ribosomal RNA". It matches the Rfam family "Bacterial small subunit ribosomal RNA", at positions 28 to 507 of the family's 1533-position model. The record is from RNAcentral.